CCCAAACGCUUCAGUAAUGGUUGCGAUUGAUCAAACGUUGCCAGAUGCUGUCCUGUUGGAAAUUCUUCUUUACGUGAUCCUGGAGGAGGGGUGAUGCUACAUUACUAAGUCCGUCUUUGGUUUGUUCCAAAUUCAGAAGUCUGCUGUACUGUAUACAGACUCCUUUCGAAAGAGGGCACAAUCCAGCUGGCUUGACGGAGUAUUUUCUUUUACAUAUUUGAUUAGAGGUUUAAAAAGGUGGAACAAAAUGGAGAACAAGUCUAAGCCAUGUCAGGAAUUCAACAAAAUGUACACCCUGCAGACACUGUGACGAGGUUUACAACAACUGCUUACCAGGU
This is a long non-coding RNA of Carassius gibelio (silver crucian carp), 338 nucleotides long. RefSeq lists it as uncharacterized. The transcript has 3 exons. NCBI's taxonomy places the organism in Eukaryota, Metazoa, Chordata, Actinopteri, Cypriniformes, Cyprinidae. The record is from RefSeq and is a predicted model, not a curated record.